CGGGGGAGGCCGGAUCCUGGGCUGUGUCCCGGCGCCCUGUGCUCCAGGGCCUGCGCUGUUGGAUUCGCGCUCCUAGCCGCCCGGGAGCGGCCGCCG
Canis lupus familiaris (dog) is the source of this 96-nucleotide non-coding RNA. Lineage: Eukaryota; Metazoa; Chordata; Mammalia; Carnivora; Canidae. The record is from Rfam.